GAUGAAGAACGUAGUGAAAUGCGAUAACUAGUGUGAAUUGCAGAAUUCCGUGAAUCAUCGAGUCUUUGAACGCACAUUGCGCCUCCUGGUAUUCCGGGAGGCAUGCCUGUUCGAGCGUCAUUAAAAUCACUCAAGCUUAGGUUUACCUAUUGCUUGGUCUUGGAGAUGGAAGCCAAUUUAUUGGAAUCCUCUUCGAAAUUCAAUGGCGAAGACCCUUGCUCUCCCAAGUGUAGUAAUAACUUAUGUCACUGAAGGAAGCGAGAAAUCUUCUGCCGUAACCCCCAUAUUUUCUAUGAUUGACCUCGGAUCAGGUAGGGAUACCCGCUGAACUUAAGCAUAUCAAUAAGCGGAGGA
This 354-nucleotide unclassified non-coding RNA is filed under the name soil metagenome. RNAcentral describes it as "partial contains 5.8S ribosomal RNA, internal transcribed spacer 2, and large subunit ribosomal RNA". The stretch from base 1 to 120 matches the Rfam family "5.8S ribosomal RNA", at positions 35 to 154 of the family's 154-position model. The record is from RNAcentral.